CACGAAGUUAGCCGGGGCUUCUUCUCCGGAUACCGUCAUUACCUUCUCCGGUGAAAGAGCUUUACAACCCUAAGGCCUUCAUCACUCACGCGGCAUGGCUGGAUCAGGCUUGCGCCCAUUGUCCAAUAUUCCCCACUGCUGCCUCCCGUAGGAGUUUGGGCCGUGUCUCAGUCCCAAUGUGGCUGAUCAUCCUCUCAGACCAGCUAUGGAUCGUCGCCUUGGUAGGCCUUUACCCCACCAACUAGCUAAUCCAACGCGGGCUCAUCCAUCCCCGAUAAAUCUUUCCCCCGUAGGGCGUAUGCGGUAUUAAUUCCAGUUUCCCAGAGCUAUUCCGCAGGGUUGGGUAGAUUCCCACGCGUUACUCACCCGUCUGCCACUCUCCUUGCGGAGCGUUCGACUUGCAUGUGUUAAGCCUGCCGCCAGCGUUCGUUCUGAGCCAGGAUCAAACUC
Molecule: ribosomal RNA, 450 nt
Filed under: uncultured Rhizobium sp.
Lineage: Bacteria; Pseudomonadati; Pseudomonadota; Alphaproteobacteria; Hyphomicrobiales; Rhizobiaceae
Description: partial 16S ribosomal RNA
Source: RNAcentral